This 216-nucleotide long non-coding RNA is filed under the name Brassica napus (rape). RNAcentral describes it as "long non-coding RNA (BNAP_LNC022100)". Lineage: Eukaryota; Viridiplantae; Streptophyta; Magnoliopsida; Brassicales; Brassicaceae. The record is from RNAcentral.
CAACCACUCCGGUAAGAUGCAAAUCUUUACUGAUUUGAACAUUAAAAGCCUGCAAAGUUGUAUAUAAACAAAAUCUAUGAGACCAGACUCCAGAGUCAAAACCAACACAACAAAUUCCACUCAAGAGUAUAGACGACUGUCAUAAUUGCAAACAUAUACGGUUUAAGAGAGUUCUUAAACUAACUUUUGCAGCAUUUGGCAAGCCAAGGAAAACCC